RNAcentral lists this ribosomal RNA (274 nucleotides) under uncultured bacterium. RNAcentral describes it as "partial 16S ribosomal RNA". It matches the Rfam family "Bacterial small subunit ribosomal RNA", at positions 523 to 796 of the family's 1533-position model. The record is from RNAcentral.
AUACGGAGGGUGCAAGCGUUAUUCGGAAUCACUGGGCGUAAAGGACGCGUAGGCGGGUUGGCAAGUCAGAUGUGAAAUCCUACAGCUUAACUGUAGAACUGCAUUUGAAACUGCUAACCUAGAGUAUGGGAGGGGGAGAUGGAAUUAGUGGUGUAGGGGUAAAAUCCGUAGAUAUCACUAGGAAUACCGAAAGCGAAGGCGAUCUCCUGGAACAUAACUGACGCUGAGGCGCGAAAGCGUGGGGAGCAAACAGGAUUAGAAACCCCAGUAGUCC